This 253-nucleotide ribosomal RNA is filed under the name uncultured bacterium. RNAcentral's name for it is "partial 16S ribosomal RNA". It matches the Rfam family "Bacterial small subunit ribosomal RNA", at positions 524 to 776 of the family's 1533-position model. The record is from RNAcentral.
UACGUAGGGGGCUAGCGUUGUCCGGAUUUAUUGGGCGUAAAGAGCGUGUAGGCGGCCUGGCAGGUCUGGUGUGAAAACUCGAGGCUUAACCUCGAGAUGUCAUCGGAAACCAUCUGGCUAGAGUCCGGAAGAGGAGAGUGGAAUUCCUGGUGUAGCGGUGAAAUGCGCAGAUAUCAGGAAGAACACCAAUGGCGAAAGCAGCUCUCUGGGACGGUACUGACGCUGAGACGCGAAAGCGUGGGGAGCGAACAGG